GUCCACGCCCUAAACGAUGAACACUCGCUGUUGGCGAUACACAGUCAGCGGCUAAGCGAAAGCGUUAAGUGUUCCACCUGGGGAGUACGGUCGCAAGAUUGAAACUCAAAGGAAUUGACGGGGCCCGCACAAGCGGAGGAGCAUGUGGUUUAAUUCGAUGAUACGCGAGGAACCUUACCCGGGCUUGAAAGUUAGUGAAUGGUUUAGAGAUAGGCCAGUCCGCAAGGACACGAAACUAGGUGCUGCAUGGCUGUCGU
This 257-nucleotide ribosomal RNA is filed under the name uncultured bacterium. RNAcentral describes it as "partial 16S ribosomal RNA". It matches the Rfam family "Bacterial small subunit ribosomal RNA", at positions 793 to 1055 of the family's 1533-position model. The record is from RNAcentral.